This 492-nucleotide ribosomal RNA is filed under the name uncultured bacterium. Its description in RNAcentral is "partial 16S ribosomal RNA". It matches the Rfam family "Bacterial small subunit ribosomal RNA", at positions 29 to 507 of the family's 1533-position model. The record is from RNAcentral.
AGUGAACGCUGGCGGUAGGCCUAACACAUGCAAGUCUAACGGCAGCACAGUAAGAGCUUGCUCUUACGGGUGGCGAGUGGCGGACGGGUGAGGAAUACAUCGGAAUCUACUUUUUCGUGGGGGAUAACGUAGGGAAACUUACGCUAAUACCGCAUACGACCUACGGGUGAAAGCAGGGGAUCUUCGGACCUUGCGCGAUUGAAUGAGCCGAUGUCGGAUUAGCUAGUUGGCGGGGUAAAGGCCCACCAAGGCGACGAUCCGUAGCUGGUCUGAGAGGAUGAUCAGCCACACUGGAACUGAGACACGGUCCAGACUCCUACGGGAGGCAGCAGUGGGGAAUAUUGGACAAUGGGCGCAAGCCUGAUCCAGCCAUACCGCGUGGGUGAAGAAGGCCUUCGGGUUGUAAAGCCCUUUUGUUGGGAAAGAAAAGCAGCAGGUUAAUACCCCGCUGUUCUGACGGUACCCAAAGAAUAAGCACCGGCUAACUUCGUG